This 5213-nucleotide long non-coding RNA is filed under the name Olea europaea subsp. europaea. Lineage: Eukaryota; Viridiplantae; Streptophyta; Magnoliopsida; Lamiales; Oleaceae. The record is from RNAcentral.
GCCAAAACCAUUCUCCCAUCUUCCACUACCUUUGGUCUGACUUUGUAUAUCACGUCCUAAAAUCUGUCUCCAUCUCCGACAGUGGUGCAGUCGUACAGAUCCGACAACAGUAUAGAUCCGACAAUAAAGUCCGAUCUCCAUCUCCAACAAUCCCUUGACAAGUCCGAUCAUCUUUUGUAGGUAUCACUUCGUUUUACUUGUAUUUUAUCUUACUUGGUUUUCACUUGUUUUUAUCUUAAGAGAUGAUUCAGUAAACACACAAACCAUUUACGCACUCUUUGGAGAAAAAAUAUGAUGAGAAAAGUUAAUAAUUGACAACCAAAAAAAUAUUAUUAAAUAUGGUUUCAGAGAAAAUGGAUGAAAAAUUUUUAACUGGGUGCACGUGAACUAUCAUAAGAAUAAUAAUAAUGCGAGACAACCCAAGUACAAACUGCAUGUGAACUAUCAUAUAAAGUAAAUGCCAUUUUUUGAUCAAUUCCAGCUAGUAAUUUUCCAGAGGCCUUGAAUCUUUUGAAUUAUUAAAAUAAUGUGCAUACACACACACACACACACACACACACACACACAGAGAAUGAGAGUUUAAGUUUGUAGAAUAUAUAGAGGGAUCUUUGAGUUUCUUCAAUGACGAACAAAGUGGUGUCGAAAAUCCCGAACUAGAAUUUUCUUAAGAUUCUCCCUCUCUGUCAUGAUAACGUUGAGGACAAUGUUUUGUUCAUAUUUACUUUUUUGUUAUAUAGUAAUUGAUAUUUGUUAUGGUGCACAUGCAAGUACAAUCGAAUCAAAAAAAGGAAAAAAGUUCGAUUCCAAGGCAUAGUAAUAUCCCAGAUAGUGCAAUCGAGGUUCUGCCAACUCCUCAAUGACAAUAUUUAGAGCAUCAUAGUGGUCCCAUUUCAAUUGAAAUGAGUUUUAUGUCGCCAGUUCCAUAGGGCAAUUUUGUCACUGCCUGUAGAAGCUAAUUACUAUUCCAUGAAGAGUUUGUUUGAUGUCAUAGAUUCAUGUUUAAUAUUAGACUUAACAUGUAUUAGUGCAGAUGAAACUAUAUGAGCAUGUUUGUGCAUGGAACAAGGUGUUGAAUUAUUCACUUUCUAGAGAGGCAAACUCUAUGCAUAUUGAAUUAUUCACUUUAUUAUUGCCUUCUUUGCCUUCUUUGUGAUUGAACUAUGGCUAUCCAUUUUUGUUGACAGGAGUUAUCUUCAUUAAAUUGUGAUAAAGUCCUUGUUAGUUGUGGUAUGGCAAUUCUGUCGACACUUAGUCAAAGAGUGCUUUUUUUUAGGAUGGAUUCCACUGUGUACAAGAAGUUUAAGCCAACUAAAAUGAAGUUUUAGAUGUCCAUAAAUAUGAAUCAUGAAGCAUAUUCCUGGACUAGGAAAAGGAGAUCAAAAUGUUUCAAACAACCAUCAACUAUUGGCAACAAAAAUAACAUAUGAUCAAUUACACUAAAGAGAGAACUACAACAUCCAUCUGCUUCCCAAACUACACCAAAAAAGAUAGAAUUAACCGAGUAUACUAUGAUGUGUCCUUCUCCUUUGUUUCUCGCUCAGUAGGUGGUUUUCCACUAUGGACAGUCACGUUCAAGUUCGCAGAGAUCAAUAGUUAUUCGUCGUUAUUAAGCCGCACUUGAGAUUUGAAAGUUCGAGACAUAUCGUCAACUUCUGUGUGUGCCACUAGUUUAGCUAAAGAAGUCUCCAACACCCCCUAUAGCCAAGGCAAACUUUAGAGUUCUUUGAAAUACUCAAUUUCGAGCAACACCCCCUAUAGCCAAGGCAAACUUAUAGCCAAGCCAGUAUCGUUUUACAUGUCAAAUAAUGAACUCACACGCCAAACAAUACUCCAUUUCUAAUUCACUCCAAAGCAUGAAAUUGUUAAUAUGUACAGGAUAAGCCAAAGCAUGAAAUUGUCAAUAAGCACAUGCCAAACAAUAAUCAAUUUCGAGCCCUUUUAAUUCACUGUGGACAAAUCCAAAUUACUAAUACAUGCUAAGUUAAAACUCAAACCCACAGCAGAGUCCAUACUGAAAAGCACAAAAAAUUUUAAAACCCAACAAAUGAAGUCAAUAAACCAUACCUCUUUUAAAACACAAGUCAAAUGAUUGAUGAACGCGUUCCUGAAAACGCAUGUCAAAACUCAAACCCACAUCAGAAUCCACUGAAAAGUACAAUAAAUUAUAAAACCCAAUAAAUAUAAACCAUACCCCUAAGCUUUUGAUGGAUCUAACUUUCUUCGUUAGUGUUAUUCAAAACCAUUUGUCUUAGAAGGAUCGAUUUGUUUGAACAACAAAUAAGCUUGCGAAAUUUUAAAAGAACACAAGACAAACGAUAUGUUUUUGCCCCAGAAUAGGGCCCAGAUAUUCUGUCUUUCAACUUAGUAACCUGUUGAGCAUCUACCAUUAGAUUAUGUUCUAGAUCUGCUAAUAUCAACAAAAAAUCAUUAAAAAAGUUCUUUGUUGCCUUUUAUUUUACAAAAACUGUAAUCAAAAGUAUCUCGCAAUCUUAGUGACUGCACAAGCAAUCAAAAACCUCACAAAGAUAGAGAUUGAACCCACAAAAAGUUAAUUUCAGAUUACAAAUUUACUCAAGAAAAAAUCAUAUUGCUUAGAUGAAGGAAGAGAUGAAAGAUCUAAGAAACUCAAAAGUCUCACACACUAAGUGAAUAAGAAAAGGCGAGAGCAAGUAUAUAUCUGUCCAGCCAAAAAGUCAUGAUCCAAGGGUCAUAAAGUAGCCUCGUUGACGGCAUAUUUCAAUCGUUCUUUGUCAAGCGAUUUAUUUUUCUCGCGUACUUUACAAAUCCAAUGCUUGAGGAUGAAAGGUCAUUGGGAACAACACUUGUUAAUGACUUUUAAGUUAAAUGUUUGCGUUUCAAUUAUACAUUUCUUUUUAGUUUGUUGUUAUUCCAUGAUAAUGACACAUGUUACGUUAUUAGAAAUAUAAGUAUUAAUGAGAAUACUACAAGUACUGUUACUGAACUUAUAAAAGGGAGAUGAGAAUGACAUAAGUGUUAUGUUUGUUACAAACUUUCAUGAGAACGAAACAAACAUCAUUAUUGGCAUGAAAAUGUUUAUAUUCGUCAGGGGGUCCAAUGUUUGAGAUCAUUGUACUGGAAUGAAACCAAAAUAUAGAAGAAAUCAAUAGAACAGCACAAGAGCUGUUACUAAAAUGAAAACAACCAUUCUGUGUCCUAUCUAUAAAUAUGAGUUGAGAAAUAUGCUCAUUAAUUAUCAGUCUAGCCUCCCAAUGAUGGCACAACUAUCGUUAUGAUUGUAAUUUACUUGUCCAUAAGAAUGACACUUGUGCUGUUACUAAGAUAAGAACGUCUAUAAGAACUUUACAACUAUCAUUAUACUUAUAAAUAUACUUAUCUAUGAAAAUGGCACUUGUGUUGUUGCUGAGAUGAAAGCGUUUAUGAGAAUGACACAACUACCAUUAUAUUUACUUUACAAGUGUCCAUAAGAACUGCACAACUUAAGGUGUCCAAUUCUAAAGGUUGUAGCUUUGGAAACAAACGAAAAUAAAUGAGAAAUCAAUAGAACAUCUCAAGUGACGAUAUUGAUAAUAAAACAGCACUUGUGUCAUUCUAUCUAUAAUUACAAGUUUAAGAAGCCACGACCAUCCCUGCCUCAAGAAAUAAUAAGUUGAACUCAAUUAAGUUGCAAGAUGGACAUGAAUUUUUAAAAAAAAAAAUUGAGAGAUAUGCUCAUUAAUUUUAUUUUGUUGAAAAUAAUAGAAUCACUUGUACUUUCAACAACUUUAUAUCAAAUAAUUUACAUAAUUUCAAUUGUUCUUUGCUAGGUGAUUUAUUUUUCUCACGUACUUUACAGAUCCAAUGCUUGAGGAUGAAAGGUCAUUGGGAAUGACACUUAUGUUGUUAUUGAAAUGAAAAGUUCUAAGAGAACGGAACAAGUACAACUUAGAGGAUGAAAAUGUCAUUGAGAACGACAUUUAUGCCGUUACUGAGAUGAAAAGUUUUAAAAGAACGGCACUACCAAAAUAUAAUUUUUCUAUGAGAAUGGCACUUGUGCUGUUACUGUAAAGAAAACGAUACUUAUUGGUUUGUAUCUUUAUGGACUUAUGUCUCAAGAAAAAGGCAUAAGUGUCAUUACUGGACUUAUAAGCGUAAAUGAGAACGACACAAGUGAACUUAGUCCAAUACUCCAUAAACAUGAGUAUGAGCAAUCAUGAUCCGUUCGAGCCCCGAUAUUCGAUAAGUUGGACUCAUUUAUGUUGCAAGAUGGACUUACCAUUUACAAAAUUUGAGAAAUAUGCUCAUUAAUCAUAUUUUCUAACAAAUAUACACAAUGACUGUGAUUUUACAAACUUGACACUGAUAAGUGCAUUUUUGUGCACUUAUUUAGUUCACAAACAUACUUAAAUACGAUCAAAGUGUUUGAAUUGAGGCUUAAUUUCAUUUAAUUCGUGCAUUGUAGGUUAUAUUAAUGGACAUGCUAGAAUCCACGAGAAAAGAUUCGAAAAAGGGCUAAAAUGAAGCAAAGUGAAAGUUCAAGGAUCAAAGCGCAAAUACCCAAAAGUUAAACUAAAAGGUGAAUCGAGAAUGCAAAUGAGCUAAGUAUCAACUCAGGGUUAAGAUGGGAUGAUCAGAUGAAGAAAGACGAGACAAAGGACAAGACGACAAAAAAUGAAAGUCUAGAGACCAAAGUGCAAUUAUCCAAAAGAAGAACCGAAGGAGUAAUCGAGGGUUUGAUUGAGCCAAGUACCAAUCGGAGACUUAUAUUAGUUGAUAGAAUGAGAAGAAUGAAGAAACGAGGUCAAAAUGGAAGAAAAUAAAGUUUGAGGACCAAAAUAGACAUUGUGGAAAAACUACUACUAAAAAACUAAUACUAUGCGGUUGCAUAAUAGUCCUUCCAUGUGGUCACAUGGAAGGUGAUCGAAAGUUUUCUAGCUCCAAGUUUUUCUUCUAUGCGGUCGCAUAGUGAUUUUCUAGGGGCCGUGCAGUUUCCCAUUUUCAUUAAAACUCUUUUGGAACUCGAUUUGGACACAAUAUAAAAGCCUAGACUCGUCAGAUUUUAGCGGAGAAGGCAUUGGAGGCAACAAAACACAUCUUGGACAAGAUUUUGAGCGAAAGCAACGAAGAAUUUCAUGAAGAUCAUCGAGAUUUCAUGCGAAUUCAUAACCCGGUAAUGUUUUAUCUUCAAAAAAUCAUGUAUUCUUUUAUUUUCUCCAUUUAGGCUAAAUAUUCUUGUACUAGGAGAUCGAUGAACC